This 72-nucleotide transfer RNA is filed under the name pig gut metagenome. It matches the Rfam family "tRNA". Rfam says of the family: Transfer RNA (tRNA) molecules are approximately 80 nucleotides in length. The record is from RNAcentral.
GAGGCAUAGCUCAGCUGGUUAGAGCGCUACGUUGACAUCGUAGAGGUCAUUGGUUCGAUUCCAACUGUCUCC